GAGGGCGGGGCCGGGGCUCGUCUCUCCCACCAGCUAGCCGCGGACCCGGAGGAUUUUAAGACACCACCCUCGACUUUAGCCAAUGAGAAGCCGGGAGCUGAACUGAGAUCUUAGCCAAUGAGGAGUCCGGAAGAAGUCAGUUUCCGCCCCUUCCUCGCUCCUUGGUAUUAGCCAAUACGGAACCAGGACUUGCUCUCUUCCGCAGAUCCCACCCAGUAAGGGCUUGGGGGCGGGCCUUGGGCUUCUGGCACGCCUCCUCCCGUGGAGAAGAGUUGCCGCGGGCCGCGUUCGAUCCGAUCCCGAGUCCGCCGGGCGUCGUGGAGUGGCGCUCGCCUCACCUCCCGCACGCAGAUCCCGAGCUCUGGGCAGGGCGCUGGCGUCCUCUUACUAGACUGCUAAGCCCCUGCUGUGUGCUGACACGCUUCCGACCCGGCGGGGAAGGUUGGAGCCUGCGAAACUGUGAGCCAAAGUACGCCUGCAUGAGGGGGCCUUGUGUCCGUGAUGGGGCUGACCAGCACGCCUGGCCCAGCAUUAGCAACAGUUUUGGAAGCUGAUAAGUUCUUUACUAGCAGUAACAAAGAACAAAACUUGAUCAGCCACACCAAGAACUCCAUCCUCUCUGGAGAAAUCACAGAGACGAGCAGAGAAUGCAGCCCAAAAACCUAGCCGAAAACCUGUGUGAACAGAGCUUGCGGUUCCUGGUUCUGCACCACUAUGGACCCAGCUGCUGGAACGCUGCCCUGCAAGUCAUUCCUGCUGCCGUGAGCCAGAUGCCGGGCAUGGAGAAGCUGGGUCACCUGGAGAGUGAGUGCUGACCUGAGGGGAGACUGAGGCCCUGUUUUCCAUGAGCCUGCGCCAUCUCACACUUCCGCCAGCCGCACUUGAGAGUCCAGCUACACUUGGUGUUCAGUCAUUUCUCAUUACCUUACCACUGAGUGGCAGUUCUGUC
Molecule: long non-coding RNA, 949 nt
Organism: Ictidomys tridecemlineatus (thirteen-lined ground squirrel)
Lineage: Eukaryota; Metazoa; Chordata; Mammalia; Rodentia; Sciuridae
Source: RefSeq, a predicted model, not a curated record